This 119-nucleotide ribosomal RNA is filed under the name Triticum aestivum (bread wheat). The record is from RNAcentral. Lineage: Eukaryota; Viridiplantae; Streptophyta; Magnoliopsida; Poales; Poaceae.
GGAUGCGAUCAUACCAGCACUAAAGCACCGGAUCCCAUCAGAACUUCGAAGUUAAGCAUGCUUGGGCGAGUGUAGUACUAGGAUGGGUGACCUCCUGGGAAGUCCUCGUGUUGCAUUCC